GAUUUUUCCCUCUCUCUCUUUGGCAUCUCUUUCUCUACUUCCUCUUGAGUUUCUUUGAGUCUGUAAAUUUUCUCUUAUUGUAUGGUUUCUGCAAUCUAGUUAUGGAGUUUAUAUUUUGGGUUAAUGAUCAGGCCUGAGAGAGUGGCUGAUCUUGUAUUGUAAAAUUCCUAAACGAUUGGUUGACUUCGUGGUUUGUGUGUUUCACGAGAUCUUUUAGAUCGAUGACUGAAACUGUAAGAUCUGAGUGGUUCUUAAUGUACUCUUGCUCUCUUGGAAGGUAAAUUGUGCCAUAGUGGAACGGGCUGUCCCUGAGCCCCCCCAGAUUAGGCCUAUUUACGGCUAAACUGGGUCAACAAUUUGGUGUUCUUGUGUUACUUUUUCUAUUCUCAUUGUGUGUUUUCGAUUUUAUUGCAAAUUUAGUUUACAAGUCAACUGAAAUUCUUUUCGUAUUGAUAUCAGAGUCUUCUGGCUUCUGGGUUCAGUACACUCUAUAUAAAUCCAUGUUGGGUUUUUUAUUUUUUAUUUUUUUUGGUUUCAAAUAGUGUAGAUCGUUUUUUCAAAUCUACACAAAGGUGGUUCGGUAUAUUGUCCAUUAUUUUUGUCUUUGGAUUUUUUUUGGCAAUAAUUCUUACUGAUUCGUUUGAGUUUUGAAGGUGACAUAGAAAGGAGGUUCGUGUUUACUGGCUGGUUUGAAUGCUUUAUAUGUAUAAAACAGUCACUGCAAUAAUCCGGUACAAUCUGACCAUUACCCUCUUGGAUCUAGUUUGACAUGGGUUAUUUAUGAUAUAGUUUAUUUCAUGAUGCAUGUUGUUCUUGAUUUAGUGAACUGAAAUAAUAUACUUGUUAUCUAUCUACUAACAUGUUAUCUAGUUAUAGAACCCGCCUUGCACCUUUGAGAUAUCUAACUGAAGUUUUGAUAUACCUGUUUUUUCUUUUAUACACACACACACACUGUCAAAUAUCUAUUAUAUUCUACCUCAAUCUUUGAAAAGUUGUUAUUGAAUUUUUUGGGUUUCCUGAAACUGUCUAUUAUUGGUUUUCUUGAAACUGCUUGAUACAAAAUUUUUCAAAAAACCUUUUCUGCAAUAUCCAUGAGUAAUGCCCACCCUUUUACAGAAUCCGUAAUGGGUUUGAAGGUCGAAUUGUCCCUAUUCGAUGGAAAGAGGGACUACUCUAUAUGGAAGCAGAAAACGAGGGCCAUUUUGGUCCAACGGAAGGUUGCAAAAGCCAUUGAUGAUACUGCAACUUUUUCUGAUGAGUUAAAAGCAAAACCUAACGAAAUUGAAGAAAUGAAUGAGAUUGCCUAUAGUUCUAUAAUCCUGCAUUUAUCUGAUAAUGUGGUUAGACAAGUUGAUGAUUCUAAAACUGCAAGAACUUUGUAGAUUGCCUUGGAUGGUUUGUUCUUAACCAAAACUCUUCCUAACAAGAUAUAUCUAUUAGAAAAACUAUUUAGUUUUAAAAUGGACACAGGAAAGGAUUUGGAAGUCAAUUUAAGUGAUUUUAGUAUUAUAGUUAAGAGUUUAGCACACAAUGAUAAAAAAUUUGAAGAUGAGAACUUGGCUGUUAUUCUUUUAAAUUCACUGCCUGAAUCUUACAAAGAUGUUAAGAAUGUCAUAAAGUAUGCUAGGGACACUCUUACACAAUCGAUUGUAAUAGAUGCUUUAAGGUCAAAAGUGUUAGAAGUUAGGAGAGAAAAUAGAACCAACUAUAGAGAAGAGAGCCUAUUUGUAAGGGGAAGAACUGAAAAGAAGGAAUGUAAUUUUCAAAACAAGAAAAUGAAGGAGAGAUCUAAAAGCAUAUCUAAAUCUAAAGAUAGAAGUAAUAAGAAGUGUUACAACUGUGGGAAGUUGGGACACUUUAAGAGGGACUGCUUUGAUUGGAAAAGGAAAUUAAAAGAUCAGAAUAAUAAUGAUCGGAAUAAUGCAGCCAUAGUGUUAGAAUUGGAUAGCUUCCUUGUACUAAAUGUGUUAGCUGAAAACUCUAUUAGAGACUGGAUCCUAGAUAUUGUAUAUACCUUUCAUAUGCAUCCUGAAAAAACAUGGUUUUAUAACUAUAAAAAAAUAGAACCAGGAAAGGUGUAUAUGGGUGAUAAUAAUUCCCAAACUGUGAUUGGCAUAGGUGACAUUGUCAUAAAAAUGUUUGAUGGCAUUGUCAGAACUUUAAGAAAUGUGAGAUAUGUCCCAAAUUUAAAAAGGAACCUUAUUUCACUAGGGAUACUUGAAGAUGAGGGAUAUAUCUUCAAAUUUGAUAAUAAAAACCUAAAAAUUAUGAAGGGCUCUUUAGUUGUGAUGAAAGGACCUAAAAGGAAUGGGUUAUAUUAUCUAGAGGGAGAAACAAUUAUAUCACCUGAUUCAAAUGCUUUAACUGUUAAUGAAAACAAAUCUAGUCUUUGACACAAUAGAAUGGGACACAUUGAAAAUAAAGGGCUAAAAUCUUUAAGUAAUCAAAAAUUACUUGGAAAAGAUGACAUUGAGCCAGUGAACUUUUGUGAGACUUGUGUGUUGGGUAAGUCUCACAAAGUUAGUUUUUAAUCUAGCUCAUACAGAACCAAUAGGCCCUUGGAUUAUGUGCAUGCUGACCUUUGGUGUCCAGAAAAACACUCCACUUUUGGUGGAAGUAAAUACUUUUUAUCACAUGUAGAUGACUACUCUAGGAAGGUUUGGAUUUAUCCAUUAAAGGCUAAAUCUAAAACCUUCCAGAAGUUCAGAACAUGGCUGAAAAUUGUUGAAAAUCAAUUAGAGAAGAAGAAAUUGAAAACCCUAAGAACUGAUAAUGGGCUGGAGUUCUCCAAUAUAGAAUUUGAUAAUUUCUGGAAACAGAAAUGAAUAUUAAGGCAUAGGACUGUGAAAUACACACCCCAGCAAAAUGGGAUAGCUGAGAGAAUGAACAGGACUAUAAUGAAUAAAGUAAUAUGCAUGCUUAUUAGUUCUAGUUUGGCUAAAGGGUUUUGGGCUGAAGCUGCUUGUACAGCAGCUUACUUGAUUAAUAUGUCCCCUUCUAGUAGUAUAGGGUUUAAGACCCCACAAGAAUUGUGGACAGGAAAAAUCCCAAACUUAAUUCUUAUAAGGGUUUUUGGAUAUGCAGCAUAUGCACAUCAAUCCGAAGGAAAGUUGGAACCUAGAGCCAUCAAAUGUGUGAUGCUAGGAUAGCCAGAAGGUGUUAAAGGCUACAUCUUGUGGGUUUUGGGUAUUUCAGGCAUUAAGAUUAUUAAUAGUAGAGAUGUAAUCUUUAAUGAAUUAGAAAUGUCAUGAGUAAGACAAAGUUCUAAAGGAAAAAAUGAAUCUGUAAACAACCAAACUGUUCAGAGUGAGGUGAAGUUAACUAAAUUUAACCCAUUUCAACCUGGAGAUGAUGAAAAUGAAGUUGUACAUUAUCAGGUUGAACAAGUUACUGAAGCUGUAGAGCCUAAUGAACCCUAGAAUGGGGCUGAAUCUGAAGAACUUGAUCAUAUUGCUGAACAAACUAAGGUUCAAGACUAUCAAUUAACUAGGGAUAGGGUAAGAAGACAAUCUAGAUCCAAUUCUAGAUAUGAACUAUUAAAUAUGACAGACUUUGCCUUAGACUCCAGAGAAGAAAUAGAACAAGCUGAACCUACCUCUUAUGAAGAAGCUAUUCAUGGGAAAAAUUCUGAAAAUUGGUUACAGGCCAUGAAAGAAGAAAUGCAAUCUCUGAAUGAAAAUAAAACUUGGAAGCUUGUUAAAAAAACCUAAGGAUCAUAGGGUAGUACAGUGUAAAUGGGUUUACAAGCUUAAAGAGGGUAAUGGCCCAUAUGAUCUUGUUAGGUUUAAGGCUAGACUCGUGGCAAAGGGGUAUACUCAGAUAGAAGGAGUUGAUUACAAUGAGAUAUUCUCACCUGUAAUCAAAUAUAAAACCAUAAGGUUGAUAUUGGCCAUGGUUGCUCAAUAUAAUUGGGAACUUGAGCAACUUGACGUGAAAACUGCAUUCUUAUAUGGGGAAUUGGAAGAGGAUAUCUUCAUGAGUCAGCCUCAAGGUUUUGAAGUUAAAAACAAAUCUGUAUAUGUUUGGAAACUGGAAAAAUUAUUGUAUGAGCUGAAAUAGAGCCCUAGACAAUGGUAUAAAAGGUUUGAUGCAUACGUGUUAAAGAUUGGGUUCAAAAGAAGUGAAUUUGAUGCUUGCUUAUAUUAUAACAAUAUGAGAAGUGGGGGGAAAUUUACUUACUACUUUACUUAGAUGAUAUGCUUCUGGCCAAUCUUGAUAAGUCUCAAAUUUCUAGAUUAAAGAAUCUUUUGAAAUCUGAAUUUGAUAUGAAGGACCUAGGAUAUGCUAGAAAAAUUCUAGGGAUGGUUAUAAAAAGAAUCAGAUCUGAAAACAAGUUAACCAUCACACAAGAAGCAUACUUAAAUAAAGUUGUGACCGAAUUUGGUAUGAAAGAUAGUAAAACAGUUAAUGUACCCCUAGCUGCCCACAUGAACCUAUCUAAGACUCACUUCCCUAAAUCUGAAGAAGAGAUGAAAGAAAUGGAAAAUAUACCUUAUGCAAAUGCCAUAGGUUCUGUAAUGUUUUCCAUGAUAACAACUAGACCUGACCUUGCUUAUGCAAUCAGUUUCCUAAGCAGAUUUAUGUCCAAUCCUGGCGAGCCUCAUUGGGCUGGGAUGAAAUGGUUACUUAGGUAUAUUGUUGGUACAUUAAAUCUGGGAUUAGUGUAUGAGAAAAGAUCUAAAAAUUUAACUUUAAAAGGGUAUGUUGAUGCUGAUUUUGUCGGUGACAAAGAUAGUGGAAAAUCUACUACAGCUUAUUUCUUUACCCUUGGGGAAAAUUGCAUAACUUGGAAACCUCAAUUGCAACCAUUGGUUACAUUGUCCAGCACUGAAGCUGAGUAUGUAGCCAUAACUGAAGCUAUGAAAGAAUGUACUUGGUUAAUGGGGAUUUUAAAGGAACUGAACUUUAUGAAUGAUACUCCUAUUUUAUACACCGAUAGUCAAAGUGCUUUGCUCUAUAGUAAAAAUCAUGUCUAUCAUGAAAGAUCGAAACACAUCGAGGUGAAGUAUCACUUUAUAGGAGAAAAAAUAUCUCAAGUGAAGUUAAAUUGAUUAAAGUUCAUACUGAUAAAAAUCCUUCCGAUAUGGGAACCAAAGUUUUACCUAUAAGUAAGUUUAAAAAAUGUUUAUCCUUACUUCAUAUUGACACAGAUUAAUUUUCUUUUGCAGGUACUAGGGCGAUGAUGAUGGAUAGCUGUUCCAUGGCACUUUCAACAACUAGAGAGCGAGUGUUAUUGAGAAUCAAGGUGAAGAAUGUGAAAAGUGGUGUUUCUCCAAACACUCUAAAACGAGUGCUACUUUUGUCAAUUGGGUUUUCGGCUUACUUGGAAAAUUCUACCUAAUUGGCACUCGACUAUUGGAUACUUGAUACUCACUUGAAUUGUGCUAGUUGAGACUCGUUUUGGACCAUUGGAUUAAAUCAAAGGCUGAGAUUAACCCUGCGAUGUGAACUGUCCUAUUACACCCAAAAGUCUCGUGACUUUUGGUGGAUAUUCUAGAUUUUUCCCUCUCUCCCUUUGGCGUCUCUCUCUCUACUUUCUCUUGAGUUUCUUUGAGUCUGUAAAUUUUCUCUUAUUGUAUGGUUUUUGCGAUUUGGUUAUGGAGUUUAUAUUUUAGGUUAAUGAUCAGGCCUGAGAGAGUGGCUGAUCUUGUAUUGUAAAAUUCCUAAACGAUUGGUUGACUUUGUGGUUUGUGUGUUUCACAAGAUCUUUUAGAUCGGUGACUGAAACUGUAAGAUCUAAGUGGUUCUUGUUGUACUCUUGCUCUCUUGGAAGGUUAAUUGUGCCAUAAUGGAACGGGCUGUCCCUGAGCCCCCCAGAUUAGGCCUAUUUAUGGCUAAACUGGGUCAACAAUUUGGUGUUCUUGUGUUAAUUUUCUAUUCUCAU
Molecule: long non-coding RNA, 5884 nt
Filed under: Olea europaea subsp. europaea
Lineage: Eukaryota; Viridiplantae; Streptophyta; Magnoliopsida; Lamiales; Oleaceae
Source: RNAcentral